Long non-coding RNA from Bos taurus (domestic cattle), 652 nucleotides. Lineage: Eukaryota; Metazoa; Chordata; Mammalia; Artiodactyla; Bovidae. The record is from Ensembl.
GGUCCAGCGCUGUCUAAAGUUCACUCAGCAAAUAGUCACUAAAUGCCCCCAUGUGGGGAACCAGCCCGGGCUCGGGGCAGCUGAUUUGGGGGGGGGCCUGGAGGGAAACUCUGAGCUGGGAGUCAGCACCGCUCACGUGCUGGAGAUAAAUGAAAAAAUGAGCAAAGAUCUCUGCUCUGGGCAAGCUAUAUUCUAGCAUGGAAAGAUAACAACAAAAAAGAGAGAAAAAAAAUCAAAAAGUAAAAUAUGUCACAUUGUCAGUUGAUGAUAAAGUGCUAUGAAGUGUGAGUUUGACAGUCGAGCAUAGGAAGUACAGAAUACAGGACAGAGACUUGACAUCCGUGAACUUGACUGUAUGAUCAAGGUCAGCUUCACCAGUGGUGUGGCAUGUCAUCAUCUUGGGUUCUCUGAUAUGGAGUGACCAGAAAGGAGCAUUGCCUCGGUGGGAUCUUCCCCCAAACACGUCACCUCCUCACUCCGAUCAUGAGAAAACACCAUAUAGACCACAGCUGAGAGACCUUCAACAAAAUACCUGGCCAGCCCUACUCUUCAAAAAUGUCAAGGUCACACAAAGCAAGGAAAGCCUGAUGCUAUGGACCAAAGUCAUGUAUGGAUGUGAGAGUUGGACCAUAAAGAAGGCUGAGCACUGAAG